This 462-nucleotide ribosomal RNA is filed under the name uncultured bacterium. RNAcentral's name for it is "bacterial SSU rRNA". It matches the Rfam family "Bacterial small subunit ribosomal RNA", at positions 28 to 490 of the family's 1533-position model. The record is from RNAcentral.
GACGAACGCUGGCGGCGUGCCUAACACAUGCAAGUCAACUUGACUGAAGGAGCAAUCUGACAGUAGAGUGGCGCAAGGGUGCGUAACGCGUAAGUAACUUGCCCCAAGGUAAGGAAUAACGUCGAGAAAUCGGCGCUAAUACCUCAUAAUGCAGCGGAUCCGCAUGGAUAUGUUGUUAAAGGUUUACCGCCUUGGGAUAGGCUUGCGUCUGAUUAGCUAGUUGGUGUGGUAACGGCACACCAAGGCUACGAUCAGUAACUGGUCUGAGAGGAUGAUCAGUCACACUGGAACUGAGACACGGUCCAGACUCCUACGGGAGGCAGCAGUGAGGAAUAUUGGGCAAUGCUCGAAAGAGUGACCCAGCAACGCCGCGUGGAGGAUGAAGGUAUUCUAUAUCGUAAACUCCUGUGAGAGCAGACGAAAGACAGAUAUAAUACUGGAUGACUGUAUGCUCAGAGGAAG